GAGUUUAUUGUAUCACUAUUUUCUCUUUUGGCAGUUUCUGUAUUUAUUAUGGAGUAUUGAUGUUAGUGCAUUUUUUUUGUUUGUAUUUUGUGUUCCACGAUGAUAAUCAGGUUGCGUGUUAUUUUUUAGGUUUGGAUAAUUUGUGUUAUGUACAUUCUCUCUUUUUGGUUAAUUAGCCUCUUGCCACACGUCUACGCGUGUGUCAAUUGGUGCUUUUUUAUUGUUUUGAAUCUUAGUUUCUUGUUUUAAUUUUACUUAUUUUUUAUAAAAUGGGUCCAUUAUUUAAUAGUUUGACUUGACGGUCAUAGUUUGGGAAAAAAGGAAAGAAAAAAAAAAGGCUCGACUGGGCUCUGAGUCUAAGAAGGCCUGGGUUUCAAGCCCAUUUGACAGCCCAAUUUCCAAUUUAAUUUAACCGGAGUCGUGACCCAACUUAAUUAAUAGCCGUUUUUUACUACCACAAGCCCUAAACUUAACUUUCCCUCUCUCUCUUCGCGCGCUCGCUCGCUCUCGCUCUCUCUCUCGUCAGCUCUCCUCGCUCUCCUCCAUCAUAUCUCUCGAUCGCUACUGUUGAUCACGACAGAGCUUGAGUGGAUUUGGCGGAGACCUUCGCCGUCGCCGUUAUCAGCAGGCCUCUUCGUUUGGCGUUUGUGGUGAUAUAUAUUCCUUUCUCCUUGUUCUCUCGAUUUCUUUAUGUAAUUUUUUUGUUCGAUCGUUUAAUUCGAUUGUUGGAUUUGUUUGAUUUGUUGAAUUUGUUGAAUUUUUUCGAUUUUGCCCUAAUUCUGAAUUUUUUACAUGGCUGACAAAACUAAUUUGCUGGCCGCCGAUCCUUAUUCGGAAUUUCUAAGAAAUGUGCAUGACAUUGUAAGGGAGUCGGUGGUGAGUAAUGAGAGGCUUUUUCUUGACAUUUUUGCUGUAAAUGAUGUGAGGGAAGAAGUUGAGAGGUUCAAGAGGACCCCUUUUGCACAGAAGGCGGAGAGGGACCAAAAAUUGAAAAUCCUUUUGUCUUUCCGCUGAUUAUUCUUUUUUUUUUCUUCUUCUGAUAUGUACUACUAAAUUACUAAUUGAGUUCUGUAAUUUUGUUUGAUAAAAAAUUUCUUAUAGGAAAAGGUCGAGUACAUAUGGUUAGCAUCAAUCUUCCGUCACAUGGUUUGAUAUGGUUUUCUCAUUGGUUUAGUUACACACAUAUCAUGUAUUUCCAGGUGCUGUAUUUGAUUUGGUAUGUAUAAUUGUCAGUAGAGUUCUCGGUUUUCUUUGUCCCUUUGCGGAAUUGUUGUGUGCGUGCUUGUGUAUCUAAAAUUUGCUCAUCAUUCCUUGUUUCAAGGUUUUGUCAAGUUCAUGAAGCUAGUGUAGUGCUUGCUUGGUCUGUGUGUGAGUUGGAGGGGUGGGGGGUUUCUAAAUAGAGUCGGUGGCCAGGGAAAUUUGAUUUAGUUUUGUGGCAUUUAAUUUUUAGCGACAUAGGUCCAGUUUCUUCCAGAUACAAUGUUUUCUUGUGCAGAUCUGUUUUUGGCCAAGUGGAGGAAACGGGGUUCCUGUGCUAAAAUCUGAUAGUCUAGUUUUAACAAGGGAUGUAUACACGUUCCCAUUUGAAUUGUCAGUUCCUUUUUGUUUUCAUUAGAAAACUGCACACACGACCACAUAAGGUGAUAUAUAUGUUCUCAGUUCCUCUUUUGCAGUAAACAUACAAAGAUCAGCUGAAGACAUUCUUAAUCAUGUAAUGAUAUCACAGUCCCAUUUUUCCGGACCACUAAUCACCCAGGUGAGACCAUCGAUGCAAGGGACGUACCAUAGGGAAUCAGGAUGAUGGAUACACACGGUUCAAGUUCUCAAAUGGAGCCAGCUGGGAUUACGGCACACCAUUCAGAGAGACCAGUCCUUAAUCCUCUCUUAAACCACCAUCUGCCACAAGUAAUCAGUCGCCGCUUCCCAAGUCAGUAUUUUGAUUUCAAUGUCCAAUAUGUGGUUUCUGCGCAUGUGGGAAUUUAGAUAUGUAAUGUAACAGUGCUCUGCCAUAACUGAUAAGACGGUGUGUGUUGCCUGCUAAGGUUUUUCUGAUUGUCUUUGUUGAGGAACUUGGUCUUUUAACAUGAACAUACUGUUAGUACUUGCAUCUUCUCCAUUCGUUCACAUUUUAGGGAAGCAAAGAAAUAUGAUUGGCGUCGGCGUUGCAUUGUUAGGUUCGUUGUUCCUCAAAGGACUUGAUGAUGUUACACUGUUGUUUCUUUUCUUCAUUAUUGUACAGGAUGAAUAGGCCUCUUGAUUCCA
Long non-coding RNA from Malus domestica (apple), 2262 nucleotides. RefSeq lists it as uncharacterized. The record is from RefSeq and is a predicted model, not a curated record. NCBI's taxonomy places the organism in Eukaryota, Viridiplantae, Streptophyta, Magnoliopsida, Rosales, Rosaceae.